UUGCCGGUUCUUGGUUGGUCUUGAGGCACAAACUGAGAGGCUGUGGGAAACUCUCUGGACUUGGUGUUCCUUGUGUUGCUAACCCCCCUGUCUUUUCAAAGAGUCUG
Molecule: microRNA precursor, 107 nt
Filed under: Choloepus hoffmanni (Hoffmann's two-fingered sloth)
Lineage: Eukaryota; Metazoa; Chordata; Mammalia; Pilosa; Megalonychidae
Description: miRNA (ENSCHOG00000015583.1)
Source: RNAcentral